AGUCCAGGGAUCACAGUGCACAAAACCCGAGCAUACUUCUGAGCUCUCCGUGAUGUUGAAAAAGAAUCUUCUUCAAGAAUGACCAAAUGCUUAACCUGCCUUGUGCCCAGCUCAGUGCAGAGAGAAGUUACUACACUGAACGAGAACUACAACCAGGAAGCAGUCUCCACCCUGAGAAGCAGCCAUUAGUACACAGAGGGUAUGCUCACAUAAGAAGAAAAACUUUCCUUUGUGGGGAUAUAUUUUUACUGAAAAAUCUUUCUCGACAACAUGCAUGAGAAGCAUUGGGUUGAUCAGAUGUGCCACCUUACUGAUUGAUGCCUGAUGGACAUGGUAAAGUUGACCCAGAA
This 350-nucleotide long non-coding RNA is filed under the name Mus spretus (western wild mouse). RNAcentral describes it as "lncRNA (ENSMSPG00010033354.1)". The record is from RNAcentral. Lineage: Eukaryota; Metazoa; Chordata; Mammalia; Rodentia; Muridae.